This is a long non-coding RNA of Trachemys scripta elegans, 167 nucleotides long. RefSeq lists it as uncharacterized. The record is from RefSeq and is a predicted model, not a curated record. The transcript is spliced from 3 exons. NCBI's taxonomy places the organism in Eukaryota, Metazoa, Chordata, Testudines, Emydidae.
GAGACGUCAGAGCCGCUUCAGUAAUCUCAUGACGCUUUGGCCCAGUGUGGGGGCAAAUGAGGCCCAUAUUCAGCAUGGCGUGACAGGGUUUGGGAACUAUUGAGCAGACAGCAAUGCCUGAGGCUUUAGAUUUUGAUCGCGUGAGAAAGAAGCCAUUUGGAAAGCAG